CGAAAAUCUGUUGUAGAGUAAUUGGUUAGGAUAUUUGGUUCUCACCCAAAAAGACCUGGGUUCAAGUCCUAGCAAUGGAAU
This 81-nucleotide transfer RNA is filed under the name Rosa chinensis. Its description in RNAcentral is "tRNA RchiOBHm_Chr5g0044051". It matches the Rfam family "tRNA". From Rfam's summary of the family: Transfer RNA (tRNA) molecules are approximately 80 nucleotides in length. Their secondary structure includes four short double-helical elements and three loops (D, anti-codon, and T loops). Further hydrogen bonds mediate the characteristic L-shaped molecular structure. tRNAs have two regions of fundamental functional importance: the anti-codon, which is responsible for specific mRNA codon recognition, and the 3' end, to which the tRNAs corresponding amino acid is attached (by aminoacyl-tRNA synthetases). tRNAs cope with the degeneracy of the genetic code in two manners: having more than one tRNA (with a specific anti-codon) for a particular amino acid; and 'wobble' base-pairing, i.e. permitting non-standard base-pairing at the 3rd anti-codon position. Lineage: Eukaryota; Viridiplantae; Streptophyta; Magnoliopsida; Rosales; Rosaceae. The record is from RNAcentral.